This 201-nucleotide unclassified non-coding RNA is filed under the name plant metagenome. RNAcentral describes it as "partial contains small subunit ribosomal RNA, internal transcribed spacer 1, and 5.8S ribosomal RNA". The record is from RNAcentral.
UCUCCGUUGGUGAACCAGCGGAGGGAUCAUUAUCGAGUUUAUAACUCCCAAACCCUAUGUGAACUUACCACUUGUUGCUUCGGCGCGCGCUUCGGUGCCGCCGAGGACACUUAAACUCUUUGUUUUUAUAAGCAUUUCUGAGUGGCCGAAAGGCAAAAUACAAAUGAAUCAAAACUUUCAACAACGGAUCUUUUGGUUCUG